UCGUACGACUCGACAACUGCGAUAAAUGGAAGUGGUGGGCAUCAACCUUGUCUGAUCUUUCGUCCUGCUACCCCUGACAAUCUUGCUGGGACUGCUGUUCAUUCUCCAUGCUCAAUUAACGAAACGACCAGCUCCAAUGUAGUCAGCCAUUAAUCAGCACUGGCUAAUGGCACUGACUACCGCGCGCAGCGGCUGACCACAACAAUGAACUACUGCACGGAAUUACGUGAACGCGCAGCAGCAGUAGCACCGCCGCUGCUACUGAUGCGAGGUAAGAUGCUAAACAGCAAGCCAGCGCGUAUCAUGCACAGCAAAUUAAAAGAAGGAAUCGACACACGUACGGUCUACGGAAACAAGGAACGCGAGGGAAGCACCAACAAUAAGAACACAGGAUUGCAUCACGAGCGGCAGAGAUCGUUUGCGAACGGAAGCUCGCGCGAGUGAGGGCAAACAGCCUGCCCCGUGCAAGAGCAAGAAGCAGUCGGCAAAGUGGAAAGGGCGAAGAGAUGAGGUACUGGGAAAGAGAGGCACAAGGGUCUAGGUUGGGUUAGAUUAUGUGUCAACGGCUGUGAGGGCAAUAGGUAGCAAUAGUACGGCACAGCCGUGUAGUUAGACUGAAAACUUUGUCAGUAACAACGGCGAUGAAAUCAAUGUAAAAGUGUAAUGUGGAAAGCAAUUGUAACAACAACCACUUCAAGAAAAUCAAGCUAAACGAAUAGAUCCUUCAUCAAAAAAAAAUACCAUGUGUCGAAUUAUUGGAAAUUGGUGAUAGUUCUCGGAAAAGUAGCGGCAGAACCUAAAAUACGCCGCUGAACGUUGUUAGUCAACAGGUGCCGAUGUGACAUUUAAGAACGGCCCUAAUCAGCAUCAAAAGCGAACGGUAACGCUAGAGGCCGCGGAGGGUUCUAUCUCGUUAUCCUCGAGAGGGGGAUCUAAAAUUUUCACACACCUCCAAUAAAAAUAAUCACGACAGUAUCGGCAAAAUGCUCAAUUGCAGCCUACAUGACUAGAAAAAUAGCAUUGUCCUGAAUGGAAAAGAACGUUGAUUCGAGGCAGCUGUGAUGCCGAAAACGCACAUGGUCGUCUCUACCAGUCAUCGCGAUAUAGAGUCAAUCGCGUAUUUGCUGGGUCAGUAAGUAGUCAUCAUGACACGAAUAUUAACACUUUUUUUUAGUAGGCUCUUAAAGUUGCUUGCGAUUUCGCGUCCUAGCACCCUUAAUGUAGUGCUCGACAUAAGUUUGCAUUACAUCAUGUCGAUGAGUCCGUUGACAAUAAGACUAUUGGCCCAGGUACUGUAACGGCCUAAAAUUCGAAUUUGGCGGAACAAUUCAUUGCUAAUGAGUGUAUAGACUCACGUGCAUUGCUUUAUUUAUGUGCGACGCUCGAAAAAGUUGACCAAUAUGACUAUACAAGCAACACUUUGGAGUAACACCUUAUCACACAACUCGCGAAAGCAGUCUUGAAACUUUAAAAAAAAUGCCGUGCCCAUUCUCCUAAGUAUAGAUGACUCUUAAGUUUAACUAAAAAAUAGCUGGCUUGCAUCCUGUCUUAUCUCUACUUGUCAAUAUCAAUAUGAAGAUUUACUGAUACAUGCCUGCGCUGCGUACCUUUGUCGAUCGACUUGUCUCCCCGACAUCGACCAUUAGACCGUACAAUCUCAAGCGGCUUAGGAUCUUUCACCGUCGAUGAGUCUGAUCGAUUGUCCGUCUCUCCCAUGAUCCUUAUAAAAGUAUUCAUUGUUUAUCAAUUGAUUUGAACGUAUCAAUAGGACAAAGUUAAAUUCUCGAUUUCGACAGCUAAUCAAUAUUUUCAGAUUAUCCUCUGACAUAAUAAUCAUUAGUUUAUAUAUAUAUAUAAAUAA
Long non-coding RNA from Varroa destructor (honeybee mite), 1861 nucleotides. RefSeq lists it as uncharacterized. NCBI's taxonomy places the organism in Eukaryota, Metazoa, Arthropoda, Arachnida, Mesostigmata, Varroidae. The record is from RefSeq and is a predicted model, not a curated record.